AGCUCCAAUAGCGUAUAUUAAAGUUGUUGCAGUUAAAAAGCUCGUAGUUGGACUUGUGGUUUGGUGAGAUGGUCCGCCGCAAGGUGUGCACUGUUUUGUCGAGCCUUCUUCUCGUAGUUGCGUGGUGCACUUAAUUGGGUGCCAUGUGAAUAUGGGACCUUUACUUUGAAAAAAUUAGAGUGUUCAAAGCAGGCCUUGGCUUGAAUACAUUAGCAUGGAAUAAUAGAAUAGGACUUUGGUUCUAUUUUGUUGGUUUCUAGGACUGAAGUAAUGAUUAAUAGGGACAGUUGGGGGCAUUAGUAUUUAAUUGUCAGAGGUGAAAUUCUUGGAUUUAUGAAAGACUAACUACUGCGAAAGCAUUUGCCAAGGAUGUUUUCAUUAAUCAAGAACGAA
This 393-nucleotide ribosomal RNA is filed under the name uncultured eukaryote. Its description in RNAcentral is "SSU rRNA". It matches the Rfam family "Eukaryotic small subunit ribosomal RNA", at positions 587 to 987 of the family's 1831-position model. The record is from RNAcentral.